RNAcentral lists this ribosomal RNA (465 nucleotides) under uncultured bacterium. Its description in RNAcentral is "partial 16S ribosomal RNA". It matches the Rfam family "Bacterial small subunit ribosomal RNA", at positions 338 to 795 of the family's 1533-position model. The record is from RNAcentral.
CCUACGGGAGGCAGCAGUAGGGAAUCUUCCACAAUGGGCGAAAGCCUGAUGGAGCAACGCCGCGUGGGUGAAGAAGGUCUUCGGAUCGUAAAACCCUGUUGUUAGAGAAGAAAGUGCGUGAGAGUAACUGUUCACGUUUCGACGGUAUCUAACCAGAAAGCCACGGCUAACUACGUGCCAGCAGCCGCGGUAAUACGUAGGUGGCAAGCGUUAUCCGGAUUUAUUGGGCGUAAAGGGAACGCAGGCGGUCUUUUAAGUCUGAUGUGAAAGCCUUCGGCUUAACCGGGGUAGUGCAUUGGAAACUGGGGGACGUGAGUGCAAAAGAGGAGAGUGGAACGCCAUGUGUAGCGGUGAAAUGCGUAGAUAUAUCGAAGAACACCAGUGGCGAAAGCAGCUCUCUGGUUUCUAACUGACGCUGAGGUUCGAAAGAGUGGGUAGCGAACAGGAUUAGAUACCCGAGUAGUC